Molecule: ribosomal RNA, 465 nt
Filed under: uncultured bacterium
Lineage: Bacteria
Description: partial 16S ribosomal RNA
Rfam family: Bacterial small subunit ribosomal RNA
Source: RNAcentral
GACGAACGCUGGCGGCGUGCUUAACACAUGCAAGUCGAACGGAAAGGCCCCCUUGUGGGGUACUCGAGUGGCGAACGGGUGAGUAACACGUGAGUAACCUACCCUUGACUUUGGGAUAACUUCAGGAAACUGGGGCUAAUACCGGAUAGGAGCUCCUGCUGCAUGGUGGGGGUUGGAAAGUUUCGGCGGUUGGGGAUGGACUCGCGGCUUAUCAGCUUGUUGGUGGGGUAGUGGCUCACCAAGGCUUUGACGGGUAGCCGGCCUGAGAGGGUGACCGGCCACAUUGGGACUGAGAUACGGCCCAGACUCCUACGGGAGGCAGCAGUGGGGAGUAUUGCACAAUGGGCGGAAGCCUGAUGCAGCAACGCCGCGUGCGGGAUGACGGCCUUCGGGUUGUAAACCGCUUUCGCCUGUGACGAAGCGUGAGUGACGGUAAUGGGUAAAGAAGCACCGGCUAACUACGUG